RNAcentral lists this small RNA (30 nucleotides) under Bombyx mori (domestic silkworm). RNAcentral's name for it is "ovarian small RNA-20483". Lineage: Eukaryota; Metazoa; Arthropoda; Insecta; Lepidoptera; Bombycidae. The record is from RNAcentral.
UACAUUGAUCUUUUGGACCUUAGAGGCCAC